AUUGAACGCUGGCGGCAUGCCUUACACAUGCAAGUCGAACGGCAGCACGGGAGCAAUCCUGGUGGCGAGUGGCGAACGGGUGAGUAAUACAUCGGAACGUGCCCAGUAGUGGGGGAUAACCCGGCGAAAGCCGGACUAAUACCGCAUACGACCUACGGGUGAAAGCGGGGGAUCGCAAGACCUCGCGCUAUCGGAGCGGCCGAUGUCAGAUUAGCUAGUUGGUGGGGUAAAGGCCUACCAAGGCGACGAUCUGUAGCUGGUCUGAGAGGACGACCAGCCACACUGGGACUGAGACACGGCCCAGACUCCUACGGGAGGCAGCAGUGGGGAAUUUUGGACAAUGGGCGCAAGCCUGAUCCAGCCAUGCCGCGUGCAGGAAGAAGGCCUUCGGGUUGUAAACCGCUUUUGUCAGGGAAGAAACGCUCCGGGCUAAUACCACGGAGUAAUGACGGUACCUGAAGAAUAAGCACCGGCUAACUACGUG
RNAcentral lists this ribosomal RNA (484 nucleotides) under uncultured bacterium. RNAcentral's name for it is "partial 16S ribosomal RNA". It matches the Rfam family "Bacterial small subunit ribosomal RNA", at positions 29 to 507 of the family's 1533-position model. The record is from RNAcentral.